This 253-nucleotide ribosomal RNA is filed under the name uncultured bacterium. RNAcentral describes it as "partial 16S ribosomal RNA". It matches the Rfam family "Bacterial small subunit ribosomal RNA", at positions 524 to 776 of the family's 1533-position model. The record is from RNAcentral.
UACGAAGGUGGCAAGCGUUACUCGGAAUUACUAGGCGUAAAGGGCAGGUAGGUGGUCUGAUAAGUCUGUUGUGUAAGCUCCCGGCUUAACUGGGAGAGGUCAACAGAUACUGUCAGGCUAGAGUAUAGGAGAGGUUACUGGAAUUCCCGGUGUAGCGGUGAAAUGCGCAGAUAUCGGGAGGAACACCAAUGGCGAAAGCAGGUAACUGGACUAUUACUGACACUCAGCUGCGAAAGCUAGGGGAGCAAACAGG